Molecule: ribosomal RNA, 16 nt
Filed under: Palythoa mutuki
Lineage: Eukaryota; Metazoa; Cnidaria; Anthozoa; Zoantharia; Sphenopidae
Description: partial 18S ribosomal RNA
Source: RNAcentral
AGGAUCAUUAACGUGU